RNAcentral lists this ribosomal RNA (253 nucleotides) under uncultured bacterium. Its description in RNAcentral is "partial 16S ribosomal RNA". It matches the Rfam family "Bacterial small subunit ribosomal RNA", at positions 524 to 776 of the family's 1533-position model. The record is from RNAcentral.
UACGGAGGGUGCGAGCGUUGUUCGGAAUUACUGGGCGUAAAGGGCUCGUAGGCGGCCGGCUAAGUCCGACGUGAAAUCCCCAGGCUUAACCUGGGAACUGCGUCGGAUACUGGCGGGCUUGAAUCCGGGAGAGGGAUGCGGAAUUCCAGGUGUAGCGGUGAAAUGCGUAGAUAUCUGGAGGAACACCGGUGGCGAAGGCGGCAUCCUGGACCGGCAUUGACGCUGAAUAGCGAAAGCCAGGGGAGCAAACGGG